RNAcentral lists this ribosomal RNA (465 nucleotides) under uncultured bacterium. RNAcentral describes it as "partial 16S ribosomal RNA". It matches the Rfam family "Bacterial small subunit ribosomal RNA", at positions 338 to 795 of the family's 1533-position model. The record is from RNAcentral.
CCUACGGGCGGCAGCAGUGGGGAAUAUUGCGCAAUGGGCGAAAGCCUGACGCAGCGACGCCGCGUGAGGGAUGAAGGUCUUCGGAUCGUAAACCUCUGUCAGCAGGGAAGAACGGACACUGUGUUAAUCAGCAGUGAAUUGACGGUACCUGCAAAGGAAGCACCGGCUAACUCCGUGCCAGCUGCCGCGGUAAUACGGAGGGUGCGAGCGUUAAUCGGAAUUACUGGGCGUAAAGCGCUCGUAGGCGGUAUGUCAAGUCAAGGGUGAAAUCCCCGCGCUCAACGUGGGAGCUGCCGGUGAAACUGGCGAGCUGGAGUGUGUGAGAGGAUAGUGGAAGUCCGGGUGUAGGAGUGAAAUCCGUAGAUAUCAGGAGGAACAUCAGUGGCGAAGGCGACUCUCUGGCACGUAACUGACGCUGAGGAGCGAAAGCGUGGGUAGCAAACAGGAUUAGAUACCCUGGUAGUC